CCUCACUACACUGAUUUAAACAAUCAGGCAAUCCCUUGCAGCUCCAUCAACGACCAACACCCUGCAUUUUGGAUCCACAUUUGAAUAAAAAGUGCCAUAAAGAAAACCUGCACGCCUGCAUUGUCUUAACUUUGUUUGUAAAAUGAAGUUUUUGGCUUAGAGCACCUUUAACCUACAAACCAGCAUCCAGCAUUCAACACUAGCUUCCACAUCAAACCAACAAUCUCACCUAGUCAUCAUAUCAUACGAUGCUGGUUUAUCUCCUGCAUACCAUCCCAAACCGUCAUCCACACCAAACCAUCAUUCCCCAAAUCUGUUUUACUUCCUACAACUUCAAUAGCACUAGUCCUUCUAUAUACCAAUUCAAUUUCUAUACAAGCUGCUUCCUUACACCACUUCUAUUACUUCACCAGGUGUAUUUUAGAUUGCAAAAACCAUAACUAUGUAGAUCUUCCCAAAAACCAGUACCUCUACCUUGGAAACAACCAUUAUCAAAAACUAGUAACACUAACAGCAGCUCAUUGCCACAGGAUGCUGCACAAACUGCACUAGCCUUUGCACCAGAUGCAAAUGGUAUGCUCCCUCCAAAUGAACUUUGUGCACCCAGCAUUAGACCCCU
Molecule: long non-coding RNA, 619 nt
Filed under: Phaseolus vulgaris (common bean)
Lineage: Eukaryota; Viridiplantae; Streptophyta; Magnoliopsida; Fabales; Fabaceae
Description: long non-coding RNA (PVUL_LNC001499)
Source: RNAcentral